This 195-nucleotide ribosomal RNA is filed under the name Klebsiella pneumoniae. Its description in RNAcentral is "partial 16S ribosomal RNA". It matches the Rfam family "Bacterial small subunit ribosomal RNA", at positions 1 to 205 of the family's 1533-position model. The record is from RNAcentral. Lineage: Bacteria; Pseudomonadati; Pseudomonadota; Gammaproteobacteria; Enterobacterales; Enterobacteriaceae.
AAAUUGAAGAGUUUGAUCAUGGCUCAGAUUGAACGCUGGCGGCAGGCCUAACACAUGCAAGUCGAGCGGUAGCACAGAGAGCUUGCUCUCGGGUGACGAGCGGCGGACGGGUGAGUAAUGUCUGGGAAACUGCCUGAUGGAGGGGGAUAACUACUGGAAACGGUAGCUAAUACCGCAUAAUGUCGCAAGACCAAA